UACGGAGGAUGCAAGCGUUAUCCGGAAUUAUUGGGCGUAAAGCGUCCGUAGGUGGUGGUUCAAGUCUGCUGUCAAAAACUGGGGCUUAACCCCAGGAAGGCGGUGGAAACUGAACUGCUAGAGUGUGGUAGGGGCAGAGGGAAUUCUUGGUGUAGCGGUGAAAUGCGUAGAUAUCAAGAGGAACACCUGAGGUGAAGACGGGUUGCUGGGCUGACACUGACGCUGAGGCGCGAAAGCCAGGGGAGCAAACGGG
Molecule: ribosomal RNA, 253 nt
Filed under: uncultured bacterium
Lineage: Bacteria
Description: partial 16S ribosomal RNA
Rfam family: Bacterial small subunit ribosomal RNA
Source: RNAcentral